This 432-nucleotide ribosomal RNA is filed under the name uncultured bacterium. RNAcentral describes it as "partial 16S ribosomal RNA". It matches the Rfam family "Bacterial small subunit ribosomal RNA", at positions 29 to 506 of the family's 1533-position model. The record is from RNAcentral.
AACGAACGCUGGCGGCAGGCCUAACACAUGCAAGUCGAGCGCGCCCUUCGGGGUGAGCGGCGGACGGGUGAGUAACGCGUGGGAACGUGCCCUUUUCUACGGAAUAGCCUCGGGAAACUGAGAGUAAUACCGUAUACGCCCUUUGGGGGAAAGAUUUAUCGGAAAAGGAUCGGCCCGCGUUGGAUUAGGUAGUUGGUGGGGUAAUGGCCUACCAAGCCGACGAUCCAUAGCUGGUUUGAGAGGAUGAUCAGCCACACUGGGACUGAGACACGGCCCAGACUCCUACGGGAGGCAGCAGUGGGGAAUCUUAGACAAUGGGGGCAACCCUGAUCUAGCCAUGCCGCGUGAGUGAUGAAGGCCUUAGGGUUCUAAAGCUCUUUCAGCUGGGAAGAUAAUGACGGUACCAGCAGAAGAAGCCCCGGCUAACUCCGC